RNAcentral lists this ribosomal RNA (253 nucleotides) under uncultured bacterium. RNAcentral's name for it is "partial 16S ribosomal RNA". It matches the Rfam family "Bacterial small subunit ribosomal RNA", at positions 524 to 776 of the family's 1533-position model. The record is from RNAcentral.
UACGAAGGGGGCGAGCGUUGUUCGGAUUUACUGGGCGUAAAGGGCGCGCAGGCGGCUUUGUUUGUCAGGCGUGAAAGCCCCGGGCUUAACCUGGGAACUGCGCUUGAUACGGCAGGGCUAGAGUUCGGGAGAGGAGAGUGGAAUUCCCAGUGUAGAGGUGAAAUUCGUAGAUAUUGGGAAGAACACCGGUGGCGAAGGCGGCUCUCGGGACCGAGAAUGACGAUGAGGCGCGAAAGCGUGGGGAGCAAACAGG